Molecule: ribosomal RNA, 1528 nt
Filed under: Klebsiella pneumoniae
Lineage: Bacteria; Pseudomonadati; Pseudomonadota; Gammaproteobacteria; Enterobacterales; Enterobacteriaceae
Also listed under: 1 other name
Description: bacterial SSU rRNA
Rfam family: Bacterial small subunit ribosomal RNA
Source: RNAcentral
AGAGUUUGAUCAUGGCUCAGAUUGAACGCUGGCGGCAGGCCUAACACAUGCAAGUCGAGCGGUAGCACAGAGAGCUUGCUCUCGGGUGACGAGCGGCGGACGGGUGAGUAAUGUCUGGGAAACUGCCUGAUGGAGGGGGAUAACUACUGGAAACGGUAGCUAAUACCGCAUAACGUCGCAAGACCAAAGUGGGGGACCUUCGGGCCUCAUGCCAUCAGAUGUGCCCAGAUGGGAUUAGCUAGUAGGUGGGGUAACGGCUCACCUAGGCGACGAUCCCUAGCUGGUCUGAGAGGAUGACCAGCCACACUGGAACUGAGACACGGUCCAGACUCCUACGGGAGGCAGCAGUGGGGAAUAUUGCACAAUGGGCGCAAGCCUGAUGCAGCCAUGCCGCGUGUGUGAAGAAGGCCUUCGGGUUGUAAAGCACUUUCAGCGGGGAGGAAGGCGAUAAGGUUAAUAACCUCAUCGAUUGACGUUACCCGCAGAAGAAGCACCGGCUAACUCCGUGCCAGCAGCCGCGGUAAUACGGAGGGUGCAAGCGUUAAUCGGAAUUACUGGGCGUAAAGCGCACGCAGGCGGUCUGUCAAGUCGGAUGUGAAAUCCCCGGGCUCAACCUGGGAACUGCAUUCGAAACUGGCAGGCUAGAGUCUUGUAGAGGGGGGUAGAAUUCCAGGUGUAGCGGUGAAAUGCGUAGAGAUCUGGAGGAAUACCGGUGGCGAAGGCGGCCCCCUGGACAAAGACUGACGCUCAGGUGCGAAAGCGUGGGGAGCAAACAGGAUUAGAUACCCUGGUAGUCCACGCCGUAAACGAUGUCGAUUUGGAGGUUGUGCCCUUGAGGCGUGGCUUCCGGAGCUAACGCGUUAAAUCGACCGCCUGGGGAGUACGGCCGCAAGGUUAAAACUCAAAUGAAUUGACGGGGGCCCGCACAAGCGGUGGAGCAUGUGGUUUAAUUCGAUGCAACGCGAAGAACCUUACCUGGUCUUGACAUCCACAGAACUUUCCAGAGAUGGAUUGGUGCCUUCGGGAACUGUGAGACAGGUGCUGCAUGGCUGUCGUCAGCUCGUGUUGUGAAAUGUUGGGUUAAGUCCCGCAACGAGCGCAACCCUUAUCCUUUGUUGCCAGCGGUUCGGCCGGGAACUCAAAGGAGACUGCCAGUGAUAAACUGGAGGAAGGUGGGGAUGACGUCAAGUCAUCAUGGCCCUUACGACCAGGGCUACACACGUGCUACAAUGGCAUAUACAAAGAGAAGCGACCUCGCGAGAGCAAGCGGACCUCAUAAAGUAUGUCGUAGUCCGGAUUGGAGUCUGCAACUCGACUCCAUGAAGUCGGAAUCGCUAGUAAUCGUAGAUCAGAAUGCUACGGUGAAUACGUUCCCGGGCCUUGUACACACCGCCCGUCACACCAUGGGAGUGGGUUGCAAAAGAAGUAGGUAGCUUAACCUUCGGGAGGGCGCUUACCACUUUGUGAUUCAUGACUGGGGUGAAGUCGUAACAAGGUAACCGUAGGGGAACCUGCGGUUGGAUCACCU